GAUGAACGCUGGCGGCGUGCCUAAUACAUGCAAGUCGAGCGAACAGACGAGGAGCUUGCUCCUCUGACGUUAGCGGCGGACGGGUGAGUAACACGUGGAUAACCUACCUAUAAGACUGGGAUAACUUCGGGAAACCGGAGCUAAUACCGGAUAACAUGUUGAACCGCAUGGUUCAACAGUGAAAGACGGUCUUGCUGUCACUUAUAGAUGGAUCCGCGCCGCAUUAGCUAGUUGGUAAGGUAACGGCUUACCAAGGCAACGAUGCGUAGCCGACCUAAGAGGGUGAUCGGCCACACUGGAACUGGGACACGGUCCAGACUCCUACGGGAGGCAGCAGUAGGGAAUCUUCCGCAAUGGGCGAAAGCCUGACGGAGCAACGCCGCGUGAGUGAAGAAGGUCUUCGGAUCGUAAAACUCUGUUAUUAGGGAAGAACAAAUGUGUAAGUAACUAUGCACGUCUUGACGGUACCUAAUCAGAAAGCCACGGCUAACUACGUGCCAGCCGCCGCCGUAA
This 513-nucleotide ribosomal RNA is filed under the name uncultured bacterium. Its description in RNAcentral is "partial 16S ribosomal RNA". It matches the Rfam family "Bacterial small subunit ribosomal RNA", at positions 28 to 523 of the family's 1533-position model. The record is from RNAcentral.